AAAUUGAAGAGUUUGAUCAUGGCUCAGAUUGAACGCUGGCGGCAGGCCUAACACAUGCAAGUCGAGCGGCAGCGGGAAAGUAGCUUGCUACUUUUGCCGGCGAGCGGCGGACGGGUGAGUAAUGCCUGGGAAAUUGCCCAGUCGAGGGGGAUAACAGUUGGAAACGACUGCUAAUACCGCAUACGCCCUACGGGGGAAAGCAGGGGACCUUCGGGCCUUGCGCGAUUGGAUAUGCCCAGGUGGGAUUAGCUAGUUGGUGAGGUAAUGGCUCACCAAGGCGACGAUCCCUAGCUGGUCUGAGAGGAUGAUCAGCCACACUGGAACUGAGACACGGUCCAGACUCCUACGGGAGGCAGCAGUGGGGAAUAUUGCACAAUGGGGGAAACCCUGAUGCAGCCAUGCCGCGUGUGUGAAGAAGGCCUUCGGGUUGUAAAGCACU
This 439-nucleotide ribosomal RNA is filed under the name Aeromonas hydrophila. Its description in RNAcentral is "bacterial SSU rRNA". It matches the Rfam family "Bacterial small subunit ribosomal RNA", at positions 1 to 434 of the family's 1533-position model. The record is from RNAcentral. Lineage: Bacteria; Pseudomonadati; Pseudomonadota; Gammaproteobacteria; Aeromonadales; Aeromonadaceae.